UACAGGGGGAGCAAGCGUUGUUCGGAUUUACUGGGCGUAAAGGGCGCGUAGGCGGCCAGCACAAGUCAGUUGUGAAAUCUCCGGGCUUAACUCGGAAAGGUCAACUGAUACUGUGCGGCUAGAGUGCAGAAGGGGCGACUGGAAUUCUCGGUGUAGCGGUGAAAUGCGUAGAUAUCGAGAGGAACACCUGCGGCGAAGGCGGGUUGCUGGGCUGACACUGACGCUGAUGCGCGAAAGCCAGGGGAGCGAACGGG
This 254-nucleotide ribosomal RNA is filed under the name uncultured bacterium. RNAcentral's name for it is "partial 16S ribosomal RNA". It matches the Rfam family "Bacterial small subunit ribosomal RNA", at positions 524 to 776 of the family's 1533-position model. The record is from RNAcentral.